GUCUAUGGUCAUACUACCCUGAAAGUGCUUGAUCUUGGAAGCUAAGCAGGGUCAGGCCUGGUUAGUACUUGGAUGGGAACAGUUCCUCUCUUUUUCUUUCAUGAUUUUGGCUUGUUUGAAGCAUAUAGGCC
Molecule: ribosomal RNA, 131 nt
Organism: Gorilla gorilla gorilla (western lowland gorilla)
Lineage: Eukaryota; Metazoa; Chordata; Mammalia; Primates; Hominidae
Source: Ensembl